RNAcentral lists this small RNA (1052 nucleotides) under Pan troglodytes (chimpanzee). Its description in RNAcentral is "processed transcript". The record is from RNAcentral. Lineage: Eukaryota; Metazoa; Chordata; Mammalia; Primates; Hominidae.
GUGGCUGGGGCACCCUGGCGCCAUCUUUUUCCAGCGCGCGAAGGCAGGAGCCCGAGACUGGGCCUGCUCAAGGUGGUGUUCGUGGUCUUCGCCUCCUUGUGUGCCUGGUAUUCGGGGUACCUGCUCGCAGAGCUCAUUCCAGAUGCACCCCUGUCCAGUGCUGCCUAUAGCAUCCGCAGCCUCGGGGAGAGGCCUGUCCUCAAAGCUCCAGUCCCCAAAAGGCAAAAAUGUGACCACUGGACUCCCUGCCCAUCUGACACCUAUGCCUACAGGUUACUCAGCGGAGGUGGCAGAAGCAAGUACGCCAAAAUCUGCUUUGAGGAUAACCUGCUUAUGGGAGAACAGCUGGGAAAUGUUGCCAGAGGAAUAAACAUUGCCAUUGUCAACUAUGUAACUGGGAAUGUGACAGCAACACGAUGUUUUGAUAUGUAUGAAGGCGGUAAGAAAAUUUUUUCUGUUAAAAUUCAAAUGAAUUUUAAACAGAAAAUUAAGAUUAAAAAACACAAAGAAAAAUAUCAACCAUUUUUAUUUUGUCUACUAGAAAAACGCCAGCAGCUCUCCUGAGUAAUCUAGAGUGGUCUUAUGUAGAUCCUCUUAAACUCUAAUUGAAUUCAUAGAACAUUUGAAGGCAUCAUCUAGAAAUGUCUUUUCUUCUGUUAGUUUUCCUCAGUCUUUCUCUUUUUAGCUCUCAUGAUAUAAUAAGAAAGAGAAAAAGCCUUUUUUUUAAAAAAAAAAAAAAGCCAAAUACAUUAUAUGUAAAAUAAAGCCACCAGCAUCCAGCCCUAAAUAUCAUCAUCCUUUGAAAGCUGUCACGAUUACUCCUGGUGACUCACAGUGCUCUGCUGGGCUCAGGGCAAGCAUUCCCGGAACCCACGGGUGCCCAGUCUUUCUCGAUGGUCUCUCCUUUCUAGGCACUGACUCUUGACUGCAGUUGUUGGCCAGGAUAUACUAUCCCCUCUUAUUUUUAUAUAUCAAUGAGACUUUCAAAAACAAGUUUUUAUAAAGAUAGUGAAGACGAAGAAUAGAAAACGCCUGCACCCACCCAAUAAGAA